ACAACCCAUGUUUGGUUGUAGAAUUAGGUCCUGUUUGGAUGCAUAGUUAAAAAGCUUUAUGAAAUUUUUAUUCUAUGAUUUUAGUCUAAAUGAAAUACGGAAUUCUGUAACUAUAAAAAAAUUCCACAGUUUUAUUUUUAAGCUGUUUGAAUACAGAUCAUACAAUUCCCCAGUAUUUAUAACAAUUAAAUUUCUAAAAUUUUAAAAUUCAAAAUUCAAAAUUCAAAAUUUAAAAAUAAAAAUUUAAAAAUUAAAAUUCAAAAUUCAAAAUAUAAAAUUAAAAUUUAAAAUUUUAAAAUA
This 300-nucleotide long non-coding RNA is filed under the name Ananas comosus (pineapple). Its description in RNAcentral is "long non-coding RNA (ACOM_LNC027590)". The record is from RNAcentral. Lineage: Eukaryota; Viridiplantae; Streptophyta; Magnoliopsida; Poales; Bromeliaceae.